GUUAGGAAUAUUGGACAAUGGGCGAAAGCCUGAUCCAGCCAUGCCGCGUGAACGAUGAAGGCCUUCGGGUUGUAAAGUUCUUUAGCCGAUGAUUAUAAUGACUGUAGUCGGAAAAUAAGCCCCGGCUAACUUCGUGCCAGCAGCCGCGGUAAUACGAAGGGGGCGAGCGUUAUUCGGAAUCACUGGGCGUAAAGCGUGCGUAGGCGGUUUUGUAAGUUAGGAGUGAAAGCCCAGGGCUCAACCUUGGAAUUGCUCUUAAAACUGCAAGGCUCGAAUCUCGGAGAGGAUAGCGGAAUUGUCAGUGUAGCAGUGAAAUGCGUAGAUAUUGACAGGAACACCAGUGGCGCAAGCGGCUAUCUGGACCGAUAUUGACGCUGAGGCACGAAAGCGUGGGGAGCAAACAGGAUUAGAUACCCGGGUAGUCU
Molecule: ribosomal RNA, 425 nt
Filed under: uncultured bacterium
Lineage: Bacteria
Description: partial 16S ribosomal RNA
Rfam family: Bacterial small subunit ribosomal RNA
Source: RNAcentral